GGGUGUGUAGCUCAGCGGUAGAGCAAUGGACUUUUAAUCCAGUGGUCAUAGGUUCGAUCCCUUUUACACCUA
RNAcentral lists this transfer RNA (72 nucleotides) under Chloropicon sp. RCC4434. RNAcentral describes it as "tRNA-Lys". It matches the Rfam family "tRNA". From Rfam's summary of the family: Transfer RNA (tRNA) molecules are approximately 80 nucleotides in length. Their secondary structure includes four short double-helical elements and three loops (D, anti-codon, and T loops). Lineage: Eukaryota; Viridiplantae; Chlorophyta; Chloropicophyceae; Chloropicales; Chloropicaceae. The record is from RNAcentral.